This is a non-coding RNA of Pelobates cultripes (western spadefoot toad), 218 nucleotides long. NCBI's taxonomy places the organism in Eukaryota, Metazoa, Chordata, Amphibia, Anura, Pelobatidae. The record is from the annotation of a GenBank genome assembly.
CAGAGAGGGCACCGUUGAUCCGAAUGCGGGCUGAAGGGGUUGUCUAGAGGGCCAACAGCGCAGGUGAGGGCUGAAUCACAUAUGACGUAGUGUGGCGUCAAGAUAUGUCCAGUCCAUCCGGUCAAAUGCCUUUACAGCAUCUGUGGAGAUGAGCACCAGAUCUCUUUUUGUCGACUGGGCGGAGUGGAUGAUGUUGAGGGCUCUGAUGGUAUUGAUGG